CGGAAUUACGCGUGCUUACCAUGCAGUCGAGCGGUAAGGCCCUUCGGGGUACACGAGCGGCGAACGGGUGAGUAAAAUGGGUAACCUGCCCUGUACUCUGGGAUAAGCCCGGGAAAUGGGUCUAAUACCGGAUACGACCUCUGAAGGCAUCUUCAGGGGUGGAAAGUUCCGGCGGUAUGGGAUGGACCCGCGCCCUAUCAGCUUGUUGGUGGGGUAAUGGCCUACCAAGGCGACGACGGGUAGCCGGCCUGACAGGGUGACCGGCCACACUGGGACUGAGACACGGCCCAAACUCCUACGGGAGGCACUCCUGGGGAAUAUUGCACAAUGGACUAUUGCCUGAUGCACCAACGCCUCAUGAGGGAUGACCGCCUUCGGGUUGUAAACCUUCUUUCUGUAAGCACCAAUCGCAAGUGACGGUACCUGCUUAACAGUCCCCGGCUAACUACCUGCCGGCAACCACGUGCAUACAGCCGCGUGCGAACGUUGUCCGGAAUUAUUGUCCGGAAUUAUUUCGCAUAAAGAUUGUCUAGGCGGUCUGUCAAACCUGGCGUUUAAACCUGAGGCUUCACCCCAUACUUGCAGACGAUAAAUUCGGACUUGGAAACUGGAAUUCCUACUGUAAUUCCUGAAUGCGCGGAUAUAUGGGCGAAUAUCAGGGGGAAAAGCGGGGGGUUAAGGCCGGUCUUUUCGCCGAUACUGACACUCAUGAGCGAGAGCCUGGGGAGCAUACCCAUUACAUACCCUGCUAAUCCACGGGCGUGAACAGUGUGUGGGAGGUGUGGUGACCUCUGCGUCCUCUGAGACACUAAUAACACCUUAUGCACACUACUUGCGGAGUACUGCCGCUCAACUGAAAUUCACAGGGGUUGCCGGGGCGCCCGAGACACGGGGGAAUAUUUGUUUUAACUCCGAAGAACCCACAUAGCCUUUCCUGGCCUUGGGUGCACU
This 951-nucleotide ribosomal RNA is filed under the name bacterium gwi09. RNAcentral describes it as "bacterial SSU rRNA". It matches the Rfam family "Bacterial small subunit ribosomal RNA", at positions 30 to 991 of the family's 1533-position model. The record is from RNAcentral.